GGACGGGGCCCGCACAAGCGGUGGAGUAUGUGGUUUAAUUCGAAGCAACGCGAAGAACCUUACCAGGGCUUGACAUCCCCUGACCGCGUAUGAAAGUACGUUUUCACCCUCGGGUGACAGGGAGACAGGUGGUGCAUGGUUGUCGUCAGCUCGUGUCGUGAGAUGUUGGGUUAAGUCCCGCAACGAGCGCAACCCCUACGUUUAGUUGCUAACGCGUGAAGGCGAGCACUCUAGACGAACUGCCGUUGACAAAACGGAGGAAGUGGGAUGACGUCAAAUCAUCAUGCCCCUUAUGUUCUGGGCUACACACGUGCUACAAUGGCCGGUACAGACGGACGCAAAGCCGCGAGGUGGAGCAAAUCCUAAAAAGCCGGUCUCAGUUCGGAUUGCAGGCUGCAAUUCGCCUGCAUGAAGUCGGAAUCGCUAGUAAUCGCAGGUCAGCAUACUGCGGUGAAUACGUUCCCGGGCCUU
This 471-nucleotide ribosomal RNA is filed under the name uncultured Pelotomaculum sp. RNAcentral's name for it is "bacterial SSU rRNA". It matches the Rfam family "Bacterial small subunit ribosomal RNA", at positions 916 to 1381 of the family's 1533-position model. Lineage: Bacteria; Bacillati; Bacillota; Clostridia; Eubacteriales; Desulfotomaculaceae. The record is from RNAcentral.